GAUGAAGAACGCAGCGAAAUGCGAUACGUAAUGUGAAUUGCAGAAUUCAGUGAAUCAUCGAGUCUUUGAACGCACAUUGCGCCCCCUGGUAUUCCGGGGGGCAUGCCUGUCCGAGCGUCAUUGCUGCCCUCAAGCACGGCUUGUGUGUUGGGCCUCCGUCCUCCUCCCGGGGGACGGGCCCGAAAGGCAGCGGCGGCACCGCGUCCGGUCCUCGAGCGUAUGGGGCUUCGUCACCCGCUCUUGUAGGCCCGGCCGGCGCUUGCCGAUCAACCAAACUUUUUUCCAGGUUGACCUCGGAUCAGGUAGGGAUACCCGCUGAACUUAAGCAUAUCAAUAAGCGGAGGA
This 345-nucleotide unclassified non-coding RNA is filed under the name soil metagenome. RNAcentral's name for it is "partial contains 5.8S ribosomal RNA, internal transcribed spacer 2, and large subunit ribosomal RNA". The stretch from base 1 to 120 matches the Rfam family "5.8S ribosomal RNA", at positions 35 to 154 of the family's 154-position model. The record is from RNAcentral.